Molecule: non-coding RNA, 443 nt
Organism: Grammomys surdaster
Lineage: Eukaryota; Metazoa; Chordata; Mammalia; Rodentia; Muridae
Source: the annotation of a RefSeq genome assembly
CCCAAAUCUGGGUUUACAGGUCUUCCCACUCAGUGAUCAAGUCUGAACUCAGAAUAUCCAGCAUGGUGUUGGGACUGAGCUGGGUUAUCCUUGUGGCUCUUUUGAAAGGUGUCCAGUGUGAGGUGCAGCUCGUGGAGACAGGAGGAGGAUUGGUGAAGCCUGGGGAUUCUCUAAAACUCUCCUGUGUUACCUCAGGAUUUGCAUUCAGUAACUACUGGAUGUACUGGGUUCGCCAGUCUCCAGGGAAGGGGCUGGAGUGGAUUGCUACAAUUAAACACAAAUUUGAUAAUUAUGCAGCAUACUAUGCAGAGUCUGUGAAAGGCAGAUUCACCAUCUCAAGAGAUGAUUCAAAAAGCAGUGUCUACCUGCAAAUGAACAGCUUAAGAGAGGAAGACACUGCCACUUAUUACUGUGCAACACACAAUGAGGGGCCAUCAAUGUAA